Molecule: ribosomal RNA, 253 nt
Filed under: uncultured bacterium
Lineage: Bacteria
Description: partial 16S ribosomal RNA
Rfam family: Bacterial small subunit ribosomal RNA
Source: RNAcentral
UACAUGGGGUGCAAACGUUGCUCGGAAUUAUUGGGCGUAAAGGGUGCGCAGGUGGUUAUGUAAGUCUGGUGUGAAAUUUUUGGGCUCAACCCAAAAAGGUCAUUGGAAACUGCAUAACUUGAGAGCAGGAGAGGUAAGUGGAAUUCCUAGUGUAGCGGUGAAAUGCGUAGAGAUUAGGAGGAACACCAGUGGCGAAGGCGGCUUACUGGACUGUAUCUGACACUGAGGCACGAAAGCGUGGGUAGCAAACAGG